UGGGGAAUAUUGGACAAUGGGCGCAAGCCUGAUCCAGCAAUGCCGCGUGUGUGAAGAAGGCCUUCGGGUUGUAAAGCACUUUUAUCAGGAGCGAAACGCUGUCGGCUAAUACCCGGCGGAACUGACGGUACCUGAGGAAUAAGCACCGGCUAACUUCGUGCCAGCAGCCGCGGUAAUACGAAGGGUGCAAGCGUUAAUCGGAAUUACUGGGCGUAAAGCGUGCGUAGGCGGUUUCUUAAGUCUGCUGUGAAAUCCCCGGGCUCAACCUGGGAAUGGCAGUGGAUACUGGGAGGCUAGAGUGUGUCAGAGGGUGGUGGAAUUCCCGGUGUAGCGGUGAAAUGCGUAGAGAUCGGGAGGAACAUCAGUGGCGAAGGCGGCCACCUGGGACAACACUGACGCUGAGGCACGAAAGCGUGGGGAGCAAACAGGAUUAGAUACCCUGGUAGUCCACGCCCUAAACGAUGCGAACUGGAUGUUGGUCUCAACUCGGAGAUCAGUGUCGAAGCUAACGCGUUAAGUUCGCCGCCUGGGGAGUACGGUCGCAAGACUGAAACUCAAAUGAAUUGACGGGGUCAUAGCUGUUU
Molecule: ribosomal RNA, 584 nt
Filed under: uncultured bacterium
Lineage: Bacteria
Description: partial 16S ribosomal RNA
Rfam family: Bacterial small subunit ribosomal RNA
Source: RNAcentral